UCGAUGCAACGCGAAGAACCUUACCUGGUCUUGACAUCCACAGAACUUUCCAGAGAUGGAUUGGUGCCUUCGGGAACUGUGAGACAGGUGCUGCAUGGCUGUCGUCAGCUCGUGUUGUGAAAUGUUGGGUUAAGUCCCGCAACGAGCGCAACCCUUAUCCUUUGUUGCCAGCGGUUAGGCCGGGAACUCAAAGGAGACUGCCAGUGAUAAACUGGAGGAAGGUGGGGAUGACGUCAAGUCAUCAUGGCCCUUACGACCAGGGCUACACACGUGCUACAAUGGCAUAUACAAAGAGAAGCGACCUCGCGAGAGCAAGCGGACCUCAUAAAGUAUGUCGUAGUCCGGAUUGGAGUCUGCAACUCGACUCCAUGAAGUCGGAAUCGCUAGUAAUCGUAGAUCAGAAUGCUACGGUGAAUACGUUCCCGGGCCUUGUACACACCGCCCGUCACACCAUGGGAGUGGGUUGCAAAAGAAGUAGGUAGCUUAACCUUCGGGAGGGCGCUUACCACUUUGUGAUUCAUGACUGGGGUGAAGUCGUAACAAGGUAACCGUAGGGGAACCUGCGGUUGGAUCACCUCCUUA
This 582-nucleotide ribosomal RNA is filed under the name Pseudomonas aeruginosa. Its description in RNAcentral is "bacterial SSU rRNA". It matches the Rfam family "Bacterial small subunit ribosomal RNA", at positions 951 to 1533 of the family's 1533-position model. The record is from RNAcentral. Lineage: Bacteria; Pseudomonadati; Pseudomonadota; Gammaproteobacteria; Pseudomonadales; Pseudomonadaceae.